This 222-nucleotide ribosomal RNA is filed under the name Triticum aestivum (bread wheat). Its description in RNAcentral is "partial small subunit ribosomal RNA". Lineage: Eukaryota; Viridiplantae; Streptophyta; Magnoliopsida; Poales; Poaceae. The record is from RNAcentral.
AUGAAUGUAAAAAAUACGCUGAGGAAGCAAGGGAGCAGUACAAUGCAUGGAAGCGUGCUGCUUAUCGGAAGAAAAAAGAUAAUGAUAUUGUCAACUUACAAGAUAAGAAUCAGCCUGAUAUAUAUAUAUAUAUAUCAUAGGGAUCUUAUCAACGCUCGUAGGCGGGCGGCUUAUCGCAAUAUCAAGCCAGGUUGUUUGGAUAAACAUAGUUUCAAUGGCUAG